Molecule: ribosomal RNA, 253 nt
Filed under: uncultured bacterium
Lineage: Bacteria
Description: partial 16S ribosomal RNA
Rfam family: Bacterial small subunit ribosomal RNA
Source: RNAcentral
UACGUAGGGUGCGAGCGUUAAUCGGAAUUACUGGGCGUAAAGCGUGCGCAGGCGGUUUCUGAAGUCCGUUGUGAAAGCCCCGGGCUUAACCUGGGAAUGGCAGUGGGAACUAGGAGACUUGAAUCUGGCAGAGGGGGGUGGAAUGCCACGUGUAGCAGUGAAAUGCGUAGAGAUGUGGCGGAACACCGAUGGCGAAGGCAGCCCCCUGGGUCAAGAUUGACGCUCAGGCACGAAAGCGUGGGGAGCAAACAGG